RNAcentral lists this ribosomal RNA (730 nucleotides) under uncultured bacterium. Its description in RNAcentral is "bacterial SSU rRNA". It matches the Rfam family "Bacterial small subunit ribosomal RNA", at positions 771 to 1501 of the family's 1533-position model. The record is from RNAcentral.
AACAGGAUUAGAUACCCUGGUAGUCCACGCCGUAAACGAUGUCGACUUGGAGGUUGUUCCCUUGAGGAGUGGCUUCCGGAGCUAACGCGUUAAGUCGACCGCCUGGGGAGUACGGCCGCAAGGUUAAAACUCAAAUGAAUUGACGGGGGCCCGCACAAGCGGUGGAGCAUGUGGUUUAAUUCGAUGCAACGCGAAGAACCUUACCUACUCUUGACAUCCAGAGAACUUAGCAGAGAUGCUUUGGUGCCUUCGGGAACUCUGAGACAGGUGCUGCAUGGCUGUCGUCAGCUCGUGUUGUGAAAAGUUGGGUUAAGUCCCGCAACGAGCGCAACCCUUAUCCUUUGUUGCCAGCGGUUCGGCCGGGAACUCAAAGGAGACUGCCAGUGAUAAACUGGAGGAAGGUGGGGAUGACGUCAAGUCAUCAUGGCCCUUACGAGUAGGGCUACACACGUGCUACAAUGGCGCAUACAAAGAGAAGCGACCUCGCGAGAGCAAGCGGACCUCAUAAAGUGCGUCGUAGUCCGGAUCGGAGUCUGCAACUCGACUCCGUGAAGUCGGAAUCGCUAGUAAUCGUAGAUCAGAAUGCUACGGUGAAUACGUUCCCGGGCCUUGUACACACCGCCCGUCACACCAUGGGAGUGGGUUGCAAAAGAAGUAGGUAGCUUAACCUUCGGGAGGGCGCUUACCACUUUGUGAUUCAUGACUGGGGUGAAGUCGUAACAAGGUAACC